GCAGUGAGGAAUCUUGCGCAAUGGGGGAAACCCUGACGCAGCAACGCCGCGUGAGUGAUGAAGGCCUUCGGGUCGUAAAGCUCUGUCAGAUGGGAAGAAUGUUCCAGCGGUGAAUAAUCGUUGGGAUCGACGGUACCGUCAGAGGAAGCGCCGGCUAACUCCGUGCCAGCAGCCGCGGUA
Molecule: ribosomal RNA, 180 nt
Filed under: uncultured bacterium
Lineage: Bacteria
Description: partial 16S ribosomal RNA
Rfam family: Bacterial small subunit ribosomal RNA
Source: RNAcentral